RNA transcript from Fragaria vesca subsp. vesca, 2129 nucleotides. It is a transcript of the gene named exonuclease 1-like, with no coding region annotated. The record is from RefSeq and is a predicted model, not a curated record. The transcript is spliced from 14 exons. NCBI's taxonomy places the organism in Eukaryota, Viridiplantae, Streptophyta, Magnoliopsida, Rosales, Rosaceae.
AUGGGUAUUCAAGGGCUUCUGCCCUUAUUGAAAUCGAUAAUGGAGCCAAUUCACAUUAAGGACUUGAAGGGCUGUAGUGUGGCGAUAGAUACCUACUCUUGGCUUCACAAAGGUGCCUUGUCCUGCAGCAGAGAGCUCUGUAAAGGCAUACCCACUUCCAGGCACAUCGACUACUGUAUGUAUAGAGUGAAUCUGUUGCGGCAUUACGGUGUUAAGCCUAUACUUGUCUUUGAUGGUGGUCUUCUACCAAUGAAGGGUGAACAAGAGAACAAACGUGCAAGGGCAAGAAAGGAAAAUUUUGCACGUGCUAUUGAGCAUGAUUCCAAUGGAAAUUCUUCUGCUGCUUAUGAGUGCUAUCAGAAAGCUGUUGACAUUUCACCUUCAAUUGCAGUAGAUUUAAUCCAGGUGUUAAAGCGGGAGAAUGUGUCUUAUGUUGUGGCUCCAUAUGAGGCAGACGCACAAAUGACCUUCUUGGCAGUCAGCAAACAGGUGGAGGCAGUCAUCACAGAAGACUCUGAUUUAAUACCAUUUGGAUGUCCUAGGAUUAUCUACAAAAUGGACAAAUUUGGGCAAGGUGUUGAGUUUCAGUAUUCAAGGCUACCUCGGAACAAGGACUUGAGCUUUGCAGGAUUUACAAAGCAGAUGGUUUUAGAGAUGUGUAUUCUUAGUGGUUGUGACUAUUUGCAAUCAUUACCUGGAAUGGGACUUAAAAGGGCACAUGCACUUAUAAAAAAGUUCACAAGCUAUGACAAGGUUAUUAAGCACCUAAAGUACAGCACGGUUUCAGUUCCUCCCCUUUAUGAAGAAUCAUUCAAGAAAGCAAUACUGACUUUCCAGCAUCAACGGGUUUAUGAUCCCGUUUCUCAAGAUGUUGUGCAUUUGUCUGAUUUGUCUGAUGACGUUGAAGAAAAUUUGGACUUCGUAGGACCAUCUAUACCACAACAUAUAGCUAAAGGCAUAGCAGAAGGGGAUCUUGAUCCAUUUACCAACAUGCCUUUCCAGGAAGAGAAGAUUACUGCCAACACAAGUUCCCGACCCAAAAAUGUGAAUUUUGAAAAUACAAAGAAAAACUAGAUUUGCCUGUGCAGAAUAAUCUUCUGACAAAGUACUUUUGCUUUGCCUCUCUUGAAGCAAAGAGAAAAUUCAGGGCACCACGAUCAUCACCUGAUGAUCCAAGUCCAGUUUCUAGUUCUAGUCUCAGCCCAGAUGAAGGAACCUCUGUGGAUGAUGCUUUUGGUAAAACCAACGUCUCAGCUUCUUCUCUUGGUCUGCAUGAACAUGUCUCUGUUGAUGAUGCCGUUUGUACUACGAAUUGCUCAAAGCCUAUUCUGCUUUACCCUGAAAACAAUGGAAAUAUGCCUCAUAGUGAUUCAGUAGAAGAUAGUUUCCCCACUGAUCUAUCAGAAUCUCCAAAUGAUGAUAUGGCGGGCAAGGCAAUAAGCCCAGACAGUACAUUGUUACCACAAUCUAGACACUCAAUUCAUAAACCCUGUUUAACACUGCAUAUGGAGCGUGAAUGUAAGAAUGCUCAAGGCACAUUUGAGGGUAAAACAAGGACAGAGAAUAGAAAGGUCAUUGUAAGAAGUUCUUAUUUUAAGGAUAAGUCAAGAAAUGAAAAUAUUCAGGAAGAUAAACAAGAAAGCCUCUUGUCGAAGGAUUCUCUUGCCAGUGAUAUGCAUGAGAAUGUAGAUCCUGAGAGUGCUCCUUUCGGAAACCAGUUCUCAAGAAAACUUGUGAAAAGGAAAAUCUCCCCAAAUUACAACGUUCAAGAGGACGACGUGAAACCCAAACAAUUGUGUCCUAAUGCAUCACUACCCCAUAAUGGUCCCUCCAGCAAUGAAGCAACAUUUAUGGACAUCAAAACUGAAGAAGGAAAAUUUGGAUCCAACAUUUCCCAUUUAGGUCGGUAUUCUGACAUAGCAGAGAAGUCAGUGGAAAACUUUGUUUCAGUAAUAUCAUCAUUUAGAUUUGGCUCAUCUGGUUCUCGAGCAAGUGGCCUCCGUGCUCCUCUGAAAGAUGUUCGAAAUACUUGUACCAAUAGGACAACUGUUGGUGCUGACUUUAGCCAAUUUGAAUAUGUACCAAAUAAUCAAAAGACAAAAACAACAGCUCGAAAACGCAGAAUUUAG